UCCCAAACCCCUGUGACAUACCAAUUGUUGCCUCGGCGGAUCAGCCCGCUCCCGGUAAAACGGGACGGCCCGCCAGAGGACCCCUAAACUCUGUUUCUAUAUGUAACUUCUGAGUAAAACCAUAAAUAAAUCAAAACUUUCAACAACGGAUCUCUUGGUUCUGGCAUCGAUGAAGAACGCAGCAAAAUGCGAUAAGUAAUGUGAAUUGCAGAAUUCAGUGAAUCAUCGAAUCUUUGAACGCACAUUGCGCCCGCCAGUAUUCUGGCGGGCAUGCCUGUUCGAGCGUCAUUUCAACCCUCAAGCCCAGCUUGGUGUUGGGACUCGCGAGUUAAACCGCGUUCCCCAAAUUGAUUGGCGGUCACGUCGAGCUUCCAUAGCGUAGUAGUAAAACCCUCGUUACUGGUAAUCGUCGCGGCCACGCCGUUAAACCCCAACUUCUGAAUGUUGACCUCGGAUCAGGUAGGAAUACCCGCUGAACUUAAGCAUAUCAAUAAGGCGGAGGA
RNAcentral lists this ribosomal RNA (503 nucleotides) under Fusarium sp. CMB-MF017. RNAcentral describes it as "eukaryotic LSU rRNA". The stretch from base 135 to 288 matches the Rfam family "5.8S ribosomal RNA". The record is from RNAcentral. Lineage: Eukaryota; Fungi; Ascomycota; Sordariomycetes; Hypocreales; Nectriaceae.